Molecule: non-coding RNA, 27 nt
Filed under: Cricetulus griseus (Chinese hamster)
Lineage: Eukaryota; Metazoa; Chordata; Mammalia; Rodentia; Cricetidae
Source: RNAcentral
AUUCCUUUACCUCAUGUCCAUUGUGGC